Cercocebus atys (sooty mangabey) is the source of this 1122-nucleotide long non-coding RNA. RefSeq lists it as uncharacterized. The record is from RefSeq and is a predicted model, not a curated record. Lineage: Eukaryota; Metazoa; Chordata; Mammalia; Primates; Cercopithecidae. The transcript is spliced from 4 exons.
GCAGCAACGGAAAGGCGCCACGCUCGUGAGGGGAACCAGAGUUCCGGGGGCGCGUAGUGUGGGCAGGCAGGAAGCCUGGCUCCACUAGGACACACAGAUUCUCUCCUGAGCAGCUGUGAACUAUGCGCCCCUUCUACCCUUAAGAGAUGGAUUGGGAGUCCAACAAACGCAGCCAUUGCUCAGACCCCAGCCCUUCUCUCCUAUAAGAAGCAGGUUCACCUCUGCCACCGCACUCGCAUUUUUUUUUUUUUUUUAAGCCCGGCCUUUCCUAGGCGGGGUCAAGGGCCCCGCCCACCGAAGCCACGCCCAUAGCCGCCCCGGGGCGGGGCUCCCCUCGGCUCCCGGCUGCCCUUUCCCCUCCGGCCUCUGCCGGUGCUGCUGCGCCCUGCGGAGCUCCGAACACGUGCGCAGAGGCCAGCUGUGGCAGAUGCAACUGCAGGAUGACUUGAAAGUAGGGCAUCCUUCACCCAUCUGAAGAGAGGAAACAGUGGCAGGUGACAGUCUGCAUGUGCAGUUUUCAGAUGCCUUCACCUGAAUAUCAUCUACCCCCAUCACGACCCCAGAUGUCUGACAGCCCUGUGUGACACCAAGAUAAGUAAUAUAUGUAGUCUUCUUGUCAUGUAGGUUCCAAUUAAAUUACUGCAGCUCAGACGGGGGUAGGGUGCUUAAAAUUAUGAUUUGAAAAAUUAUGUAGAGUAUCAGAAUUUUUUUUUCUUUUUUUUUUUUUCUUUUUUUUGAGACGGAGUCUUGCUCUGUUGCCCAGGCUGGAGUGCAGUGGCUCGAUCUCGGCUCACUGCAACCUCCGCCUCCCGGGUUUAAGCGAUUCUUCUGCCUCAGUCUCCCAAGUAGCUAGGACUACAGGCACCUGCCACCAUGCCAGGCUAAUUUUUUUAUUUUAAGUAGAGAUGGGGGUUUCACCAUAUUGGCCAGGCUGGUCUCAAACUCCUGACCUUGUGAUUUGCCUGCCUCGGCCUCCCAAAAUGCUGGAAUUACAGGGUUUUUUUGUUUGUUUUUUGAGACAGAGUCUCACUCUGUCACCCAGGCUGGAGUGCAAUGGUGCGAUCUUGGCUUACUGCAACCUCUACCUCCUGGGUUCAAUCGAUUCUCCUGCCUCGGCCUCCU